GAUGAACGCUAGCGGCGUGCCUAAUACAUGCAAGUAGAACGCUGAAGGAAGGAGCUUGCUCUUUCCGGAUGAGUUGCGAACGGGUGAGUAACGCGUAGGUAACCUGCCUGGUAGCGGGGGAUAACUAUUGGAAACGAUAGCUAAUACCGCAUAACAGUAGAUGUUGCAUGACAACUAUUUGAAAGGGGCAAUUGCUCCACUACCAGAUGGACCUGCGUUGUAUUAGCUAGUUGGUGAGGUAACGGCUCACCAAGGCGACGAUACAUAGCCGACCUGAGAGGGUGAUCGGCCACACUGGGACUGAGACACGGCCCAGACUCCUACGGGAGGCAGCAGUAGGGAAUCUUCGGCAAUGGACGGAAGUCUGACCGAGCAACGCCGCGUGAGUGAAGAAGGUUUUCGGAUCGUAAAGCUCUGUUGUAAGAGAAGAACGAGUGUGAGAGUGGAAAGUUCACACUGUGACGGUAUCUUACCAGAAAGGGACGGCUAACUACGUG
This 497-nucleotide ribosomal RNA is filed under the name uncultured bacterium. RNAcentral's name for it is "partial 16S ribosomal RNA". It matches the Rfam family "Bacterial small subunit ribosomal RNA", at positions 28 to 507 of the family's 1533-position model. The record is from RNAcentral.